Molecule: long non-coding RNA, 659 nt
Organism: Fundulus heteroclitus (mummichog)
Lineage: Eukaryota; Metazoa; Chordata; Actinopteri; Cyprinodontiformes; Fundulidae
Exons: 2
Source: RefSeq, a predicted model, not a curated record
GAGAAACGGCCAAACGGCUGAACUCUGCUCGACACACAACACCAGGAAGCGAAUUAACACCUCCGGUCAACCAGAGCAGCGAUCUGUGCCUCCUGACGCACGGCCUGGUGCUGCCCCCGGGUGUCUGACGGGUUGCAGCGGCAGCCAGAGGAGCUGAUCAGUCACCUGUCUCCCAGCUGAAAAGGCUUCUGUAAGGGCGUUAUGAUCCACAAACGCAGAGAAAAUCUCACAACUUCUCGGUUUGAUCACUUCUCUAAUGGUUAAUGUCUGCGUCUGGACUGGAUUUCCUCGUUAGGCGCUCCUUGUUGUCAGAGGAGAAGCGAGGGCUCUCCUCGGGGUAUCCCCGGAUUUACGCACGACGCAACAAUGCGCAGCUACACCCCUGACACCCAUUGAUGCAGAGAAAGUCCAGACAGGACUAAGAUGUUGGAGAAAACCAAAGGGCUGACGUUGAACGCGGAGCAAAAAGCAUUCGAUUGUUUCCAUUCACAGAAGAGCUUAUGAUUUAUUUCCAUUCGUGUAAUGGAAAUCUGAAGCAUCUUAAUAUUGGACUGAAAUCAAACCGAAGAACAGGAGCCGACCCCGGCCAGGAAGGAGACACAUCCACAACCGAAAUAAAUGUUUUAGGGAUCGUGAAGACUUUUCCAGUCCAAAUGGAA